Molecule: unclassified non-coding RNA, 678 nt
Filed under: Bombus terrestris (buff-tailed bumblebee)
Lineage: Eukaryota; Metazoa; Arthropoda; Insecta; Hymenoptera; Apidae
Description: misc RNA ENSBTSG00005027539.1
Source: RNAcentral
AGUCCUAAUGUCAUCGAUUCGAAAGUAAACGCAAUUUCUUUAUCCUAAACAAGAGUUCUUACUUUGUCAUUUUCUUUUAAAUACGAAAUUACUUAGUAAGAAUAAUGGAAAUUGGUUUGUCUCAAGUCGACGACAUCAAGGCAACAACGACGUUUCGAAAGGACCUUUUAAUCACCUCACGAAAUUUCAAGGAUAAUAAUUCGAAGCACAUGCCUUCCACUAAUGGGGUCGGUGUGUAGGUAUUACAAUCGCAUUAAUCUCACAACACUGAUUUAGAUAAUUAUGUACACGUCAUUUAACUGCAUAUAAACGUACAAAAAGGAUUAAAACUAACCAUCGAAUCGUUGGUAAUCGUCUCGGGAGCGUCUCACUCUCUCUUUCCGGUCUCGAAACUUCCUUUUCUUCCGUUUCUCUUUACGCUCCUGUUCAAUCCGGCGCUCGUACGAGUCGCUCGUUUUAGCGCGAACUUAUAUAAAUUGUUUUCUCGCGUGAAACAAACGCUGUACAUUUUUGAUAAGAAGUUUAUGCAGGUGUCUGAUACGGAGAAGACGUUAAAGCAAAAUCGUGGAUUAUCUUCUCCCUACAAACACGUGUACCACGUUCCCAGGUUUUAUGCGAAAUUAAUUUCUACAGAAACGAUGCAUUCUUUACAAGACUCUGGCAAAUAAUAUACAGAAU